Molecule: long non-coding RNA, 527 nt
Filed under: Homo sapiens (human)
Lineage: Eukaryota; Metazoa; Chordata; Mammalia; Primates; Hominidae
Source: RNAcentral
CUUUUCGAGGUAGGAGUCGACUCCUGUGAGGUAUGGUGCUGGGUGCAGAUGCAGUGUGGCUCUGGAUAGCACCUUAUGGACAGUUGUGUCCCCAAGGAAGGAUGAGAAUAGCUACUGAACUCCUGGUAACGUUUUUAUCCAUGGAUGACUUGCUUGGGUAAGGACAUGAAGACAGUUCCUGUCAUACCUUUUAAAGGUAUGGAGAGUCGGCUUGACUACACUGUGUGGAGCAAGUUUUAAAGAAGCAAAGGACUCAGAAUUCAUGAUUGAAGAAAUGCAGGCAGACCUGUUAUCCUAAACUAGGGUUUUUAAUGACCACAACAAGCAAGCAUGCAGCUUACUGCUUGAAAGGGUCUUGCCUCACCCAAGCUAGAGUGCAGUGGCCUUUGAAGCUUACUACAGCCUCAAACUUCUGGGCUCAAGUGAUCCUCAGCCUCCCAGUGGUCUUUGUAGACUGCCUGAUGGAGUCUCAUGGCACAAGAAGAUUAAAACAGUGUCUCCAAUUUUAAUAAAUUUUUGCAAUCCAU